AUGCCAUCCGGGAGCACUCAAUGUUGAGCAAACAAGAAGAAAGACGAGAACCCAUUAUGCACAUUCGAUUCUCUU
This is a non-coding RNA of Caenorhabditis elegans, 75 nucleotides long. NCBI's taxonomy places the organism in Eukaryota, Metazoa, Nematoda, Chromadorea, Rhabditida, Rhabditidae. The record is from Ensembl.